ACAUGCAAGUCGAACGGAAAGGCCCUGCUUUUGUGGGGUGCUCGAGUGGCGAACGGGUGAGUAACACGUGAGUAACCUGCCCUUGACUUUGGGAUAACUUCAGGAAACUGGGGCUAAUACCGGAUAGGAGCUCCUGCUGCAUGGUGGGGGUUGGAAAGUUUCGGCGGUUGGGGAUGGACUCGCGGCUUAUCAGCUUGUUGGUGGGGUAGUGGCUUACCAAGGCUUUGACGGGUAGCCGGCCUGAGAGGGUGACCGGCCACAUUGGGACUGAGAUACGGCCCAGACUCCUACGGGAGGCAGCAGUGGGGAAUAUUGCACAAUGGGCGGAAGCCUGAUGCAGCAACGCCGCGUGCGGGAUGACGGCCUUCGGGUUGUAAACCGCUUUCGCCUGUGACGAAGCGUGAGUGACGGUAAUGGGUAAAGAAGCACCGGCUAACUACGUGCCAGCAGCCGCGGUGAUACGUAGGGUGCGAGCGUUGUCCGGAUUUAUUGGGCGUAAAGGGCUCGUAGGUGGUUGAUCGCGUCGGAAGUGUAAUCUUGGGGCUUAACCCUGAGCGUGCUUUCGAUACGGGUUGACUUGAGGAAGGUAGGGGAGAAUGGAAUUCCUGGUGGAGCGGUGGAAUGCGCAGAUAUCAGGAGGAACACCAGUGGCGAAGGCGGUUCUCUGGGCCUUUCCUGACGCUGAGGAGCGAAAGCGUGGGGAGCGAACAGGCUUAGAUACCCUGGUAGUCCACGCUGUAAACGGUGGGUACUAGGUGUGGGGUCCAUUCCACGGGUUCCGUGCCGUAGCUAACGCUUUAAGUACCCCGCCUGGGGAGUACGGCCGCAAGGCUAAAACUC
This 840-nucleotide ribosomal RNA is filed under the name uncultured Propionibacterium sp. RNAcentral describes it as "bacterial SSU rRNA". It matches the Rfam family "Bacterial small subunit ribosomal RNA", at positions 53 to 902 of the family's 1533-position model. The record is from RNAcentral. Lineage: Bacteria; Bacillati; Actinomycetota; Actinomycetes; Propionibacteriales; Propionibacteriaceae.